Molecule: long non-coding RNA, 3949 nt
Organism: Heterocephalus glaber (naked mole-rat)
Lineage: Eukaryota; Metazoa; Chordata; Mammalia; Rodentia; Bathyergidae
Source: RefSeq, a predicted model, not a curated record
GCUCACAGCUGAGGACAAAGAGGUUCCAAAUACACUUGCAUCUUAGAAGAGCAUCCAGGAAAUGGGACCCGACCUCACAAGCUCCCGAGGCUUAUAAAGAGAGAGCAGUGCAGGCCUUCAGCAGCCAACCCCUCCUCAGCCCCAUCCUAUCCUCUGGUGCAUACAAGGAGAGGACUGAGGAUGGGGCUGGGAGAGAAAGCAGUGCUGUCCACCAUGGGGAGUAUAGGGUCGGUGGAGAUAGGUGAUCCUUUCAUAUGGACUGGAGGUGCCGAGAAGAAAAAAGAUGCAUUCUCAGGCCCCAGCCGAGGGCACAUCGAGCUGCCCAAACGGGAUUUCAGAAGGAUGGUGCAGUUCAUGCCGGCAGUUGCGGGGUGGCGGUAGAGUGUGCCCAGAAAGAAGAUGGGGGCUACCUCUCACUCAUCUCUGCCUCCUGGGCAGGAAGAGAAGAAGCCCCCAGCCGUUCAGCCUGAAGCAACCCCAAACUGGGGUCAAGGUAAAAGCUGGGCCAGGUGAGGCAGCAGCUUACCCAGAGAGGGGUGGGAGACACGGACGACUGGAGGACCAGUCAUGGAAAUGGCUGCUCCUCUCUGGGGAGGUUCUCCGUUUCUGAGGAGGCAGAUGUGAACCGACCUCAGGAGCAACAGUGCCCACCAGCUCUGCAGAGACUCCAUGUCGGCAGGGAAUAUCAGCAGCAGUUAGGAGCGCAUCGAAUGAGGCUCCCUGCUUCAUCUAGAACUUUUGUGAGUAAUGCAUUUGAGACCAAGGAGCGGACAUUAGGACGGCAGCCCUUUCAUCACUAUUAAGCACCAUGAGGAAGACUCUGACGUGAUGAAAUGGCACAAGUCCUCCAACUACAAAAUUAACCUCCAACUAUAAAAUUAACGGGUGCUGCCCGUUUGCUCCUUGGAGCCAGUCUUCCCUUCCUCCCUUUGCUUUCUGCUUUAGGAGGUUGACCUGCACAGACUACAUUGACCAUGCCUUUGCCCCUGACUUCUGGUUUGAGGUCAUGAGGUCAUGAGGGUGGGACCACCAUGAUGGCAUUAGUGGCUUUACAAGGAGAGCAAAGAAGACCUGAGCUAGCAUGCUUGCUCUGUCUCACCAUGUGAUGUCAUCUGCCAUGCUAUAAUGCAACGAGGAGACUCUCACAAGAUACCAGCAUCCUGUUCUGGACUUUCUAGUCCAGAAAUUAACCUCUGUUCUCUUAUAGCAACAGAAAAUAGGCUAAGCCUUAGGUAGUUCCACAGAAUCUGGAAUUUCCUGCCUCACCAAAGAUGUGCAAGCUUUCUAAAGCCAUAAGUCAAUUAUCCAAGGCUAAUUAUAGUAAGUGAACAGAUUCCGUGUCCUACGAGAAACAUUUCCUAUACAUUAAGUACAUGCUAUGAGGCAUGUGGUGGCCACAUGCUUCGAGGCCAACUGACACAUUCCUAGGAGAGUCUUUUUAAAUUUGUGAUGAAUAUCAAAAGGUUAUUAUUCCUUCUCAGCAAAUAUAAUGGGAGAACCUGUAUAGGUUUAAAUUUAAGAAGCAUAUUUUGUCAUUUCUAAGACACACAUUUAUUGAUUAUUGUUGGGGUCCCCUCGGUGGGAGACUGGAACCUGAAGACAGUAUCAGACAAAACCUAUUAAAUGAAGGGCACGGGGGACCACAACUCUUGGAGUUAAGGUGAGGUUUACUGAUAAUAUCCUUCUCUUAUACAUUUUUCUGUAGGAUACAUCAAUCAUUAACAGUUUACAAUGCUAGUCAACUAACCACCAGUUAUAUCUAUGAGUACAUAAAACAUCUACAGAGCCAUCUAUGCUCCUUUAAUCUUAGUGCAUCUUAUCUAAAUCAUCCUGGCUACUUAAAGCUUCUAAAAAGUUAGCUAUUCUUAUCUAGUCCUAUACCAAGCAAAUAUUUGAGAGUCUUAAGGGACCACAGUGGAAUGAACACUGUGAGACCGACAAACAGCCUUCUGAAGUUAUCUUUAAUUUCUCUAUCUGGGCCUGCCACAGACAUCAGGACAAUCUGUCUUCCCAAGGCUGUCCGAGGGCCUGAGAACUUCUCAUAUCCUCCAUAGGUUAUAAUCUUCUUAAAUUAGGAUAUGUUCUUUUUUUUUUUUUGGUACCGGGGAUUGAACUCGGGUCCUUGUGCUUACGCAGCAGGCGGCAAAACCACUGAGCUAAAUCCCCGGCCCCAAUUAGGGUAUGUCUUAAAUUCUUGUAUAAUAACCAGCUAGAAUUCAGAAAAUUUUUGUCAAUGCUUUAGGAAUACUCAAAUAAAUUUGUUUUCCUUUUUGUGUAUGCAGAAGAGUAAUGUAAGAUAAAAUCUGUGUCAAAGUAAGACUAAAAGAACUUUUUCAUUAAAUGAUAGACUCUAAGUGAUAACAAAGCAUUAUGUCUUAGUUUAAUCGGCAAGAUGUUUUUCUUGGUAGUAUAUAAAUAAUAGUGCAUUUUUCAGUCUAUUGUAUCUUGGAUUCAAAGAAAUGGUAUGUCUCAGAGACUGUUUUCCAUGAACUUGCCUAAUAGAAACACAAUCAAUACAAUAUUUUGGAAAUUCAAAAUACCUAUUCCUUUCUCCCAGGCUUUUGAUCAGAUACUAUUAUGACUAGUGGUUUAUUUAUACUUGGAGUUCAUAAUUUUCAUUUUUAUGAGAGAAUGUACAAAGUGUUGCUAGAGAAAAUAGAAUUUUCUAUAACAAAGUAAAAUUGUGUGAUUUUGGCUGGCAUUUCAACAUAGAUUUGAGGAUAGACUUAGAGUCAUCUCAAAAUGACUCAUUACCACUUUCUGUAGGCCAGGACUUGUCUCACACUUCCAUACUUUGUACAACUAAACCCUCCUCCCAGAUCUGUUGGCUUUUAAAGAGCACGUCUACUUCAUUCACUCAUUUUAGCACGUAUUUAUUGAGCAUCUAUCUAAACUGGGAGCUAUAGUAGGGAUUGUGGAUACAAAGAUGACGUAUAAGUUAAGAUAGGCAUGAUUUUCACCUUUAGCUUCUUAAAUGCUUGCUCUACAGAUAAAUAAAUAAGCAAAUGUACGGAAGUGUGCUGAGCCCUAGGAGCAGUCACAUACAACAAUAGCAGGUACCUCUUGCCUCCCUCAGGUACCCUGUCCUCCAUCUCCAAUGUUCUGCUUCCCUGGCCCCAUGCUUUUCACCUUUAUUUCUUUCUCAGAGAAAGAGCUGUUUCUACUCCCUUUGGGGUUAACCUGCCACCUAUAGGCUUAUCCCACUUCCUCUGGCUUCCACUUGCCUUUGAUGCAGCAGUUAGCUUUAGAAUCUCCCUCUUCAUUAAUGCCUUCCUGCUACUUGAAAUUCAAUUGACCUACUUUGAAAAGAAAACUUCGGCUUUACUAAAUAAUGCAUUCAUUCAUAUUUAAUUGUACUAUAGCGGCAUAACUCAGUUCCUCUCUAGAACAGGAAGUAGAAUUUUAUCUGAACUAAAAGACAGUGAGAAUAACAUUAAGGAAAAUUAAUGUGAGAGGUAUUCUUAGGGAAAAUGAGCAGACUAAUUAAAAAUUGAGUCUGGGUAGGCGCUGAUAUUGUUAAGAAGUAGAGUCCAAGAUGGCAGUUUCUAGGCUAGGACUUGUGGGAUUAGGCUUCUGAAAGCAAUGUGCCUUCUAAAUAUGGAAAGAGGUUGCUGGGAGACAAGAUCUGGAGCCAGAGAGUUGACAGGUGGCAAAUGAUUGGGCAGAGUGGAGUCUGUACACAGAGAAGCCUGAGAACAGCAAUAAAAUAACCAGAAAGCCUGGGUAUGACAGAAAAAAGAAGUGAGGGAUAGGGAGGGAUGUCUGAUCUGUGUUAUGAAAAAGAUUCGUGGGAGGGUGUCCAGGACUAUGUCAGAACCACAACUAUAGUCAUUAAGGAAUCCAGCAUGGUGGUCAAUGCUUUCCCAACAUAGGCUUACUCAGGAGGAACUGAGUCUCCUAAGGGCUGUGGUGGGGUCAUGUGAGGGGCAUGCAUAAAAUGGUGGCUAAA